AUGACGCUAAAAGUCUCGUCCCGAACGCCCUUUCCACCGCAGGAUUUCAACACAAAUCUUAAAGCACGUCAGAAUUGCCACGUCAUUUAUUUUUUUCGUUCGGGAAAAUCAAGGGCCGCCGCGAACCUUUUCCUCCGCGCACACGCGUGCCCACUACUCUAUUCAUUUCCCUCUCCCUCCACCGCCCCCACCCACUCUCCUCGCUGCGGGACAGAAGAGAGAAGUGACCAAGCGCCGGCGACGAGGCGGGCAUGCGUCGGUGACGAGGCGGGCGGCGACGGGGAGAAGUUUCACCGGUGGUGCAGGGGCCGGAUCUGGCCGAAAUCGGGCCGAAGGCGGGGGAGAGGCAGAUGCUCGCCGGACGAGCUCAGUGUCAGCACCAGCACGCUCGUCGGGGAGUGCGGCGAGCAGCAGCAGGCUCGAUGGAGAAGGGCGGCGUGCAGGGGAGAGGCGGAGGCUCACCACCAGCACGCUCGCCGGAGAGUUCGGCGAGCAGCAACCCACCACCAGCAGGCUCGCUGGGUGGCGCUCCGGAUCCUGCGUUGGCGCGGCGAGGCCUCCUCCCCUCGUCCCAGCCGUAGGAGGACACACAGUUCAAGUCUUCAUGGCAAGUUUUUGUUGCACUGCACUGUGAGGCUGUUUGCUGCAUCUGAUAUUUUCUUCAAGUCUAAUCUCAUUGCUGUUAUAAAGGAAGAUGCCUGCUACGACCGUGUUCGUAGUCUCGUUGAUCAGCUCCGGCCAUGGCUCCAAUUCUCAGUGAGGAAGCCAGCAGGAAGUAUAUCACUCUGCUUUUGUGAAUGCAGUGAGCCGUUGUGCCAUUUCCUGGCCGCCGAGCCUUCAGAUUCGGCGCUUCGACGAAAGAACGGGGGGACUCGCCCAUCUACUUCGCCAACUCCGGUAACACGCGCGAGAGGAUCACACGAACGGACCAGUGCCAAGGGCAAGACCGGCGUGCAGUACAUCGUCCUUGACAUGGGUGCAGCCAUCAGCAGCAUCGUCAGGAGGGGCAUGCUGGACGAGCUCAAGAAGACCCUGGACAGGAGGGGCAUUCAGAUGCCAUGGGAACAUGGCAUAUUUUGUAGAGAAAUGUUGAAAGAUGAAAAAAGGCCUGUAGGGGCGAUGGGAAGGAGCGUUCGGGCUGGGAGGCCUCUCCCCCCGAAUGAUUUCGUUCGUAGGGGGCUGCCUGUCGCACCGAACUCCUCGUUUGGUCUGGGAGGCCCCCAGACCGAAUGUUCGGUCCUUAUCGACGUCCGUCUUAACCCCCUCAUGGUCUACAAAUGGGAAACAUACAUGCAUUUGUCAUCAGUAGCAGUUUUUAGAUGGCAAGAACAAUAUCGGAGCAUGGCAAGAUCAGCACAAAACACAUGGCAAGAACGGAAACACAAACUUCAUGGCAAGAACAGGGCGUUUUGGUGCCCAGGUCCAGCUGAACCUGAAAUCUUAGGCGUUGAAUGGUGCACCGGGAUGCUAGAAAAUCCUACUGGCAUGCCAAAACCUGUCUGUCGGGAAAUUAGAUACAUCCAGUAUACUGGAUGGUACAGUGCAGAGAUGCCGGUAGAUUUUGACGAUUAUAUAGUGGGUGGGAGCAAACUAAUAUCUCUUGUGGACGUGCGAGAUCUCUGGGUCUUCCAAAACCGAGUAGACCUAGCAGGUUUGGAUGUCGUCGGCGGCGGACUGACAUCACCGGAGAGCCAUGGCAGACGACAGCUCUUCAACGAUUGGCAUGUGAAAAUCUCCAUCGGAACGAUUAUCCUUGUGUUGUUCUUCAACGAUUGGCUGAUUGCUCGCUUGUUUCAACCUGGAGCAGGUGCAGUUCACUUUCUGAUCGUAAAAGUGCUGCUGCAAAUGUUGAACGGCUGGUUGGGUGUUGGCUAUGAGCCUGACCACUUCGUCACUGCACGAAAAGCACGGGAUGAGAGGAUGAGAGGGAGUAGCUGUUGGUGCUGA
Molecule: ribosomal RNA, 1947 nt
Filed under: Triticum aestivum (bread wheat)
Lineage: Eukaryota; Viridiplantae; Streptophyta; Magnoliopsida; Poales; Poaceae
Description: partial small subunit ribosomal RNA
Source: RNAcentral